AUUAAACGCUGGCGGCAUGCCUUACACAUGCAAGUCGAACGGCAGCACGGGGGCAACCCUGGUGGCGAGUGGCGAACGGGUGAGUAAAGCAUCGGAACGUGCCCUGGAGUGGGGGAUAACGUAGCGAAAGUUACGCUAAUACCGCAUAUUCUGUGAGCAGGAAAGCAGGGGAUCGCAAGACCUUGCGCUCUGGGAGCGGCCGAUGUCGGAUUAGCUAGUUGGUGGGUAAAGGCCUACCAAGGCGACGAUCCGUAGCGGGUCGUGAGAGGAUGAUCCGCCACACUGGGACGUGAGACACGGCCCACGACUCCUACCGGAGGCGAGCAGUGGG
Molecule: ribosomal RNA, 331 nt
Filed under: uncultured bacterium
Lineage: Bacteria
Description: bacterial SSU rRNA
Rfam family: Bacterial small subunit ribosomal RNA
Source: RNAcentral